Molecule: ribosomal RNA, 468 nt
Filed under: uncultured bacterium
Lineage: Bacteria
Description: partial 16S ribosomal RNA
Rfam family: Bacterial small subunit ribosomal RNA
Source: RNAcentral
GACGAACGCUGGCGGCGUGCUUAACACAUGCAAGUCGAACGGAAAGGCCCUGCUUUUGUGGGGUGCUCGAGUGGCGAACGGGUGAGUAACACGUGUGUAACCUGCCCUUGACUUUGGGAUAACUUCAGGAAACUGGGGCUAAUACCGUAUAGGAACUCCUGCUGCAUGGUGGGGGUUGGAAAGUUUCGGCGGUUGGGGAUGGUCUCGCGGCUUAUCAGCUUGUUGGUGGGGUAGUGGCUUACCAAGGCUUUGACGGGUAGCCGGCCUGAGAGGGUGACCGGCCACAUUGGGACUGAGAUACGGCCCAGACUCCUACGGGAGGCAGCAGUGGGGAAUAUUGCACAAUGGGCGGAAGCCUGAUGCAGCAACGCCGCGUGCGGGAUGACGGCCUUCGGGUUGUAAACCGCUUUCGCCUGUGACGAAGCGUGAGUGACGGUAAUGGGUAAAGAAGCACCGGCUAACUACGUG